This 379-nucleotide ribosomal RNA is filed under the name uncultured bacterium. Its description in RNAcentral is "bacterial SSU rRNA". It matches the Rfam family "Bacterial small subunit ribosomal RNA", at positions 29 to 436 of the family's 1533-position model. The record is from RNAcentral.
AACGAACGCUGGCGGCAGGCCUAACACAUGCAAGUCGAGCGCACCUUCGGGUGAGCGGCGGACGGGUUAGUAACGCGUGGGAACGUGCCCUUCUCUACGGAAUAGCCUCUGGAAACGGAGAGUAAUACCGUAUACGCCCUUUGGGGGAAAGAUUUAUCGGAGAAGGAUCGGCCCGCGUUAGAUUAGGUAGUUGGUGGGGUAACGGCCUACCAAGCCUACGAUCUAUAGCUGGUUUUAGAGGAUGAUCAGCAACACUGGUACUGAGACACGGACCAGACUCCUACGGGAGGCAGCAGUGAGGAAUAUUGGGCAAUGGAGGCAACUCUGACCCAGCCAUGCCGCGUGCAGGAAGACGGCCCUAUGGGUUGUAAACUGCUUU